Molecule: RNA transcript, 4536 nt
Organism: Acipenser ruthenus (sterlet)
Lineage: Eukaryota; Metazoa; Chordata; Actinopteri; Acipenseriformes; Acipenseridae
Gene: ly86
Gene name: lymphocyte antigen 86
Exons: 5
Source: RefSeq, a predicted model, not a curated record
ACAUGAAGACAGUUGUAGUUGUGUUCCUGGUUACAGCUUUAUUUCCUGGCAGUUUUGAAGAAGCCAGGUGGCCAACACAUACUGUUUGCAAAAAAGAUGGUCUGGAAGUAUACUAUACAAGCUGUGAUCCCUUACAGGAUUUUGGGGUGAGCUUUGAACCAUGUCCUCCUCUUCUUUCACAGAAGAUCAACAUAAGAGUCUCCCUCAUACUAAAUGCUUUAUGAACUGUGGUGGGCACUCAGGGCCCGAGAGAAAGAUAAAUUUGGCCGGAGGCCUCUUCCAUGGGUGCCCUACGGGAACCCGACCACUCACCCUGCAGAACUAAAUACGAACCACUCAGUACUCAGGUAAGGAAAAAAAACCCUACUAACGUAGUUUUUUAGGGGGAAACCUCAGGGAAUCCGUGGCCGAGGGCAGCCCUUCCUCCAGGCUCUAAGCGGUCAACUCCCGUUUCGGCCUCCCAGCACUUGACUGAGCAGCCGAAACAAAAAAAAGCGACAUGAAAGAAUAACACACAGAGCUUUUAUGCACUUGCUGAUGACUUAUUAGUUAAGGGCGAAUUCUCCUUUGCAGAAAAGCAACCAAGUUUACAAAUCUCUGAAAAGUUUUCAAUGUUUUUAAUAAAUAUGUACACCUGCUGCAGUGGUGUAGUCGAGUGUAUAUGCAGGUAAACAGUGUUUACCCACUUUUAAUUUGGGCAAGAUAGUGUUUACCCACUUCUCAUAUAAGGGAUACAGAGUUUACUCACUUCUACUCUCCUGUGAUAUGCAAAUCCUAGGAGAAAGACAACGCAUUUAUAGAAUUGUGGCACGAGCAGAGGGGCGUAGACACUGGACUGCAUGUUCUGUUCAUGUAUAUGUGUGUGUGUAUAAAAAUUUCGUAAAACAUGAACAGACAUCAAAAAUAAAAACUGAAAAAUAAAGUGAUUUAUUGUUACGAUUAGACCAGAUUUACAUGAGGUUAUAGCAUCAAUAGGUGCAUUAGUAUUAGGGUGACCACACGUCCCUAAUUGGAUGGGACCAUCCCUAAAUGUAAAGAUCAAGCCCCAGAACCGGGCUGAAUGCCUUCAGGAUGGAAUUUGUCCCGGAUUCCUAGACACAGUGCAAUCUUACAGUUUAGCGCCACAGUCAAACCAUAGCAUAUCUGUUUGGAGCCCCGCCCCUGCCGCAUAAUUUUGCAAUGCCCUACACAGCCCCAGAAUGAUUGACACAUUGGAUAGCCAACCUAAAACAUAAAACUGUAUAAUCCCACUAUCAUGUGACUUUUUACACUCACAUCACAUGUUCCCCAACAGCCUGACACUGGUCUGCUUUGGCGACAGCAAACAAAAUACAAUUUGUAGAAUAUUUUAAUUUCAUUGUUUUCUUUGUUUAUGCGAAAUGGCUGACUCUAAAAGUUGAAGUGACACUGAUUGCCGUGCUAUUAAAUUCUUCAGCAAACCACGCAGAAGUUAGAAUUGAAUAUCGGGGAUCUUCAGCACGGCUCAUUUGGCCCACAGACAAACUUGUGGUAAAGCCUAAGGCCUGUAUUCGUUAAAGGCCUUGCACUACCGGAUUAUGAAAGGUGAAAAUUGCAAAAAAAAAAAUCUGGAAGAAUUUAAUGUUUUUGAAAGACUGAAAGAAUUUUAGUUGUAUCAAAAAUAAUAAUCAUAGUUCAAACAUACGUUUCAUUCAAAUAUAGCAGCUUGAUAAGAUUCUAACUUGAAAUACAGUAGUAUUAUAAAGAUUAAAUGCAACUAGGAAUUGUCAAUUACUUUGAAUUCACCUUUGAAAGCUUCCUUAGCUUCCCAAGCUGAUGAGUAUUUCUGCUUAUAUGGUGGAGGCAUUGUGAACACCUCCUUUUUUUCAGCGCUUUCAAGCUCUAAAGCGGAGAUAAAACAGUGUAUGUCUCGCGAGUGCAGUUUCCUGGGCUUAACAACAUUGUAUAUUUUCUCCUGGGGUUGCAGCAUUUUCUUACAUUGGAACGUGAUAUUUCACAUCACAACCACAUCUGCCAUGUUUGUAAAGGGAGGCUUGGGAGGGUUUGAAUUAAUUAUGAACUUCAGAGGAUUUUAAAUAAUUAAAAAAAACUCCCAAAAAAUCUCUAAAAAUCCAUAUUUACCUUUUUAAAAAAAAAAACCUUUGUUAAAUUCUGACCUCCAGAAGUCCCUGGGUUAGGAAUAACAACCUCUAAAUCUGGAGGGAAAACAUCUGAUCUGGCAACACUGAGCACCUAAGAGAGGAAAUAACCAUAUGGGGUGGCUCUGGUUGGCCGAGAGUCAAUAACAAUGUAUCUGUUCAUGUUUAUCUGUUCAACUCCACCAAACAGGGGAGUUUACCCACUUGUUUAUUUACCACUACACCAUUGUCCUGCUGUUUAAAGCCUAAAUCUGUGGAAUAAUACAAGCACAGCACAGUAAUGCAAUACUCAUAUUGUUAUGGUUCUAAAGUCUUUAAAACAAUACUAUAAAUGGAACAAGGCUAAAUUUAAGUUACCAUUGAAUUUGUAACUGUAGCAAAAUCACAGGUUUAAAUGUCCAGGAAAACCUGGUUUAACGUUGUGCUUGUUGUUAUUUUAUUUUAAACAAAAUGCAUUCAUGCACCUUGCUCAGUCAUUCAACCUCGUUUGGCUUGAAAAAACAAACAAACUGUGCUUUAUUUAAAACAAAAAUGUUCCCAAUAAAAUUGUCUGUACUUGCUUUGAAAUCCGCAACACAUUUGUUGGUACAGUAAUUUUGCCUUCUUCAUGACCAGCACACCACUUAUAAGCAUGCCUAUCUGAUUCCAUUUCACACAUGGUUGAGUGAUUGCAUACUUCCGGUUCAAAGUGGGAUGUUCGUUUAACCUGUAAGUUUGUAAGUAUGGUGUUCGGAACUCUGAGGUUCUACUGUAAUGGACUUACUAUUAAACAUAAUUAUUGAGUGGACAAAAUACAGCUCUGGUUUGUUUUAUAUGUCAUUAUUAUUAUUAUUAUUAUUAUUAUUAUUAUUAUUAUUAUUUGAAGAUUUUUGUAAUUAUGCAAAAUCAUGUUUUUUCAGCCAGAAUUUUAUCAGCCUUUAUUUGAAUUUAUUGGAAUUUAUCCAUGUAGAAAACCAAGAUAGAAAACAAAGAGAAAGAAGGAAUGGAUUUUCUUAACUCCACCUUUCAUUAUUUAACUUUAGACCUUUAUGCCAUUUGUUUAUUUUUGGCUUAGACUUUCACGUACAAAUAUAUAUUAAUUAUAAAGAGCAGCAAAACUAAAAAAUAUUGGAUCCCUAAACGAAAGUGUUACCAAGGUAACACUUUAGUUUAGGGAUCCAAUAUAAGUGAUUAUAAGCAAUCUAUAAACAUGUUCUUAAUUAUGCUAUUAACAAUUAUAGAAUAUGAUUAGAAAUAAUAACAGCAUUAGUUUACAGUUUUGUCAUUGUUUUUUGCUCUAUUGUUUAUAAUCGCUUAUAACGGAUAUAGUCUGUCUGUCUUUUUAGGUCUGUUUGUCUUUCUAGCCCUGUCUGUCUGUCUGUUUUGCAAUACAGUUAUUAUACACUAUUGCCAUUGUUUUGUUUUUUGCUAUUGUUUAUAACCACUUAUAACGGAUCCCUAAGCUAAUGUGUUACCAAAGUAUUUUAACACAUUUUGUCUGUUAUUUAAAAUUUGCAGGACAGGAUAUCAAAAAGCUCUAUCUUACUAUUAAGGGUUUUGCCAAUGGGAAACCUGUCAUACAGUUUCAUUAUAACCUCUGUGAGCCCAGCUUUGAGAGAUUAAGUUUUUGUGGAAAAAAACGAGGAGAACUUAUUUAUUAUGAGGGAGCAGUUAAAAUACCACUGCCAAUCAUUCCUCGGGGGCGUUUUGACAUUACCUUGCUGCUGCUGAAUCAAAAUCAUUUUGGUAUUGUGUGUGCCAAUGCCACCAUUUUCAAAACAUAAGAUGUAACCAAUGUAACUGCAUGUGAACUAGACAGAAAUGCUGAUACAGCCUGAACAAUGUCAUUCUUUUAACCAUACAAAAAUACAAUCAUUUCAACCAAUUUCAAUUGAAUGCCUAAAGGUUCAAUGACAAAUAUAAGACAUAUAUUUCUUAUGUUACGUGGAAAUUAUGUUAUUGAAAGACACAAAAUAUAUGUUUGGCAACAGCCAUUACCAGAGAAUAUUUAACUAAAUGGUUUGUUUAUCAAUUUAAAAAUAAUAUCUUGAAUUUUACACUGGGGUUAAUUCAGUCCAGGUGAAAACUUGCAAUGUUUACAUAGACAAACAGACGUGUAUCAAUGAGUUACUGGUAAGCUAUGAGGCUUGCAUUUUACAUUACAAAGGGAAAAUAUACCCUGCAGGUCUGAAACAUUGAGAAAAGCUUUGACAAAGAAUUUUAUUAAAAACCAUUUUCUUUGUUUUAUGAUGUUUGCUUCAUUCUGUGUAAUGUUAAGUGUCAUUACCUGGUUUUUUUUUUUGUAGCUGUUUAUUUUUACAAGUGUUUUAAGGCUCUUUCAGGAGCUGAUCUUCAGGUCUAGUUGCCUGUUGUAGAUACAUGUAACUUGGUCUGUCAACGUGUCGUCAGUUGAUUUUCAGUCGUUCUGAAUGGUAAGGGG